AUCGCUUCUCGGCCUUUUGGCUAAGAUCAAGUGUAGCAUCUGUUCUUAUCAGUUUAAUAUCUGAUACGUCCCCUUUCUGGGGACCGUAUAUUAAAUUGAUUUUUGGAACAGGGAGAUGGGAUAGGGUAAAAAAAAUACAAUAAUACCGCUCUGUCCUCCAUUAAAGACAUCUUUAUCAAGCA
Small nuclear RNA from Polypterus senegalus (gray bichir), 182 nucleotides. RefSeq annotates it as U2 spliceosomal RNA. NCBI's taxonomy places the organism in Eukaryota, Metazoa, Chordata, Cladistia, Polypteriformes, Polypteridae. The transcript has a single exon. The record is from RefSeq and is a predicted model, not a curated record.